AUUCUGACAGAUAAUUAAGAAAGCAGCAGCUUUUUCUAGACGGCUCUUCCUCAUGAUUUGCAUUUUAGCCAGAGGCGACCAGUUAUAAAAAAAACAUGAUGGAAAGAUGGUAAGAAGCCAAUUAGAUGGAUGGAUGGCUGACUGACAGCUCUCUGGUAUUACGACUCCAGAUUUCAGACUACAUAGCCUGGCAGUUUUCUACAAGAACCAACUUUUUUGCAGGUUAAAGAGACAUGUUUCUAAAUAAAAAACAAAGUGUGUCAUCAUCAAAACAAAACUACAUCUCACCACAAAACUUAUGAGGUUGUGCCUGGAAAAUGUAGUAAAAUUCAUUGGAGCCUAUUUCUACCAUCAUUUUCAUAUUAAACUUUGCAAUUUGAGUGACUGGAAUUUGAACUUAAACAGUGAAGGGAAGCAUAAAGAAGGUCAUACAUAUGCUAUUGGAGAGUUCACAGCUAGCCCCUCACUACUCAAAUUGUGGGUGUUAUUGCCAGACUGCGGAGAUGCACAAGAAUUGACUUGAGAAGCAAGGAGAUUAUUCAUGCUCCUGCACACUCUGUUAUCUCUGGGAGCUCUUAAUCAAUGCAGGGUGAGAGCCAGUUAGCAUGACUGAGGUUAGGGUAAACGGGCUGUUCAGGGAAAGAUAAAUUAAAAUGUGAUUAUUAUUCAAAUUGGAAUAUAGAGAACAUAAUCCAUGAUGGAAGAGAAGGAGAAUAAUAGAAAUAAAUAAAAAUUUACCUACUGAAUCACUUGCUCUAUUGAAUCUAGUCCUUGAAAUUCCAAAGACAUUAUAAUAUGCUAUGACUAAAGGGAAUGAUUUGGGAGAUUUAUACUCUAUCUUUAUUGGCUCCUGCAGAUAUGCUGAAAUACAAAUUCUCACAUGCUGGAAAUGUCUACUAAAUGUACCUUGAUAUACAAAUUAAAUUCUCCUAUAGAAAACUGUACUGUACUCAAAAACCUAUAUACAAAUAAAAAGACUAAAUUCUAAAUAA
Molecule: long non-coding RNA, 992 nt
Organism: Homo sapiens (human)
Lineage: Eukaryota; Metazoa; Chordata; Mammalia; Primates; Hominidae
Source: Ensembl